GUCAUGUUGAUUAUUCAUUUUGCCACAUUUGUGCCUCUGGUGAAUAAAUGUUUAUCUUGCAUGGAACUGGGGAAAACUACUUAUUCAGUUUUAUGCAUGAGAAUUUCCUAAACAAGGUGUUUUCUGGUGAUACUCAGAUUAUUGCAUGGGCUCAGAUUUCUUCUCCUUGUUUUUUCAGCACUGUGGAUCUUAUUCAAGAAUUGUUCCAGAUCCAU
This 215-nucleotide unclassified non-coding RNA is filed under the name Hevea brasiliensis (rubber tree). The record is from RNAcentral. Lineage: Eukaryota; Viridiplantae; Streptophyta; Magnoliopsida; Malpighiales; Euphorbiaceae.